CAACAGCUCUGGACAAAGAUAAAUAUUCUGCAAAAAUGGUGGACCAUAAUCAUACAUAUGCAUGGCCUGAAAAAGCAAGGAUUGUUACUUCUGAGAACUCUUUUUCAUGGUGGUUUCUGUCUCUUAGGAUGCCUUGAUCUGUAGGAUUGUAAAACAAUUGACCUUUGGCACCAUCACACCAUUGAUUAUUUAAGUGACUUUGAAGGAACAACACCGACAAGAGUCCUUAAGAGAUCUGGCUUGGCUUCACUGAGUUGUUCAAUGAUGAAAGAUCAUUAAGUGAGCCCUGUGCAUCUGGAAAACGGUGAUAAUUACCCCUCAACCCACACAUCAUUUAGUGUUCUAGAAAACUGUUUCCUGCAAAGAACCAUCAUUGUCAAAGUGAUAAGACUCAUAGAAGUCCCUUGCUGACCUAUGACCAAAUCAAAGAUCCUCGAAAUUUCCAUUCUUUAGCUUAUAACAGGUUAGCUGAACUCUUCAUCUCCAUCAAUUAACUUAGCUUAAACAAACUGUAGUCAGGUUGUCUACUACCAGUCUCUGACCUGUGACUUGUCCCUGAGAUUAAACAAGUAUCUACUGCAAGCAAUCUUCUAAGCAACCUCUCCUAACAAGUGACUGACUGCAAAGAAAAACAUUCACUGAGCAACUUUCCUAUCAUGUCACCUGUUCAUUGUACUUCCAAUUUUCUGUCUGACCUUUGAGGUGCUUAUGUGUCUUAUAGAGGAUCUUAUGGUCAGAUUAUUCUCCCUGUUGCAAUAGUCUUCUUAAAUAAAAUCUUUCCUUGCCUACACCUGAUUGGUUUUUAUUGGUAGCACAAAGUAUGCAAACACCAAUAUUUUACAUUAAUGUUCACUAUAGGAUGGUACUUGGAAAAAAUAAAGUUACUUUUUUCAUUAUUUUAUUAUUGAGGUUUAACAUCUGAGUUACCCCAAAAGAGUGAUGAACCUACCCCAAUUUGUCUGAGACUUUGUCAGUUUAAACACUGAAAGUCCUGCGUCUCAUGGUAUACCUUUGUCCCAGGAAAAAUGGGAUUCAAAACUGACUCUUGAAUCCCAGAAGUAUUACAGUCUCAGGCAAGUUACAACAAUUUGUCAACCAUUCAGAGUACUGGCCAAAAGUUAAAAAAACAAAAUCUAGAACGGAUGGUGGAGAUGGGACGUGAUGAACAUAAUUGAUAAAUUUAGAUCAGUUUUAGCAGCAUGGACUGUAUCCUGAUUUAUUAACUCCUUUAAGUGAUUCAAAGGAUAUAUCCAUCUUUAAAGAUUAGACCUGAAAAUUCUCUCUUGGAGGAAAAGUAAGGAGGUAGAUCCUAGUUUUAUAAUAAUUUUACAGAUGUGAUAGUGAGACUAAGAGAGAUUAUGUAUCUUGUCGAGGACCACAAAACUAAAUAAAGAUUUAAUUAUAGUCUCCCUGAUUUUCAGU
This is a long non-coding RNA of Oryctolagus cuniculus (rabbit), 1422 nucleotides long. RefSeq lists it as uncharacterized. The record is from RefSeq and is a predicted model, not a curated record. NCBI's taxonomy places the organism in Eukaryota, Metazoa, Chordata, Mammalia, Lagomorpha, Leporidae.